UUUGGCAGACUGAGUGGCGGACGGGUGAGUAACGCGUGAGGAACCUGCCUCGGAGUGGGGAAUAACAGUCCGAAAGGACUGCUAAUACCGCAUAAUGCAGCUGAGUCGCAUGACUCUGGCUGCCAAAGAUUUAUCGCUGAAAGAUGGCCUCGCGUCUGAUUAGCUAGUUGGUGAGGUAACGGCCCACCAAGGCGACGAUCAGUAGCCGGACUGAGAGGUUGAACGGCCACAUUGGGACUGAGAUACGGCCCAGACUCC
RNAcentral lists this ribosomal RNA (258 nucleotides) under uncultured Oscillospiraceae bacterium. Its description in RNAcentral is "partial 16S ribosomal RNA". It matches the Rfam family "Bacterial small subunit ribosomal RNA", at positions 82 to 339 of the family's 1533-position model. The record is from RNAcentral. Lineage: Bacteria; Bacillati; Bacillota; Clostridia; Eubacteriales; Oscillospiraceae.